RNAcentral lists this long non-coding RNA (1104 nucleotides) under Homo sapiens (human). RNAcentral's name for it is "HSALNT0217738". The record is from RNAcentral. Lineage: Eukaryota; Metazoa; Chordata; Mammalia; Primates; Hominidae.
CCCAGGAAGCAGCUCUGGAGUGAGGCUGUAACGACAACGUGCUUGGGGCCUGCCACUUGCUCUGUUGGGCAUGUGGCCUGAUGCAUUGGAGGUGGUCACAACCCUCCAGCUUCCUGCACAGCCUGUGGUGCACGGACGAAGACCAUGCAAAGGUAUCUCACUUGAUUGUGCUAUUUUCAGAACGACAUUCUGCUUACAGCCGAGGAACUCAGAUGAACUAAGAUACGGUGUGCAUGAUACCCUUGCCUUCACUUCAUCACCUUCUUGCUAUUGACACCCUUAUCUUCUCCAUGGAAGGUAAUUCCAUGGAGACAAUACCUAGUUCCUGGUCUCUGUACAUAUACUAAUGGAAGAGAUUAUGACUGUAGUCUCCUUACAGGACAUAGGUGGCACAUUGAAGAAAGCUUCAAUGCAACAAUAAUUUACAAUAACAUGGGCACAGUAAUGGAAAACAGCAAAGAACUGUGAGGAACUUUGCUGGCACUUUUUCCAGGGCCAGCAGCUGGAAAGAGGGGCCACAAAACAUCAGCAAGGAAACUGCUGUUCUAAAAGAAAGACCACCCACAAGCCCAGCCCAUCCUGGGGACAGACGCAUGCUGAAAGUGGAGGUCGGGUCUGGAAGGGCAAAAGCAGAUGGCCCAGCAUAGCCCACCACUUUUCUUUGUCAACAUCAAGUAUUUCUGUGUCUGUACGAAAAACCAAGGUUCUGUCCCAGGGAAAUGACGGAGUCCCAUCAGCUACAGGAUCAUAACAAGGAGAUGUCAAUUCAGUCAUACUCGCCUGAAAGCUACAGCACCUUGAACGGUUCACCCAACCACCUCAUCUGCAUGUGGUUCUCGUGGCACGUAAAGCCCUAACUGGGUGGUCUCAGUUUCACACCGCUAUGACUUUGUUUUCUGCUGGAAGCAGUUCCCCUUAUCACCAGAGCCUCCAAACCUAGAAAAGCCAAGAAAGCAGAGAUGGAAGCAAUUCCUGAUGUGGGCUAUUUGGGGCAAAACUGGUAUCUCCCCUUAUGUCCCCCGUGAGUAAGCAUUCCACAGACAGUUUCAAAACAUUAUGUUGUAUACUGAUGUACACCAGAAAUAAUAAAACCAUCAGAAUUCC